This is a long non-coding RNA of Mus musculus (house mouse), 2595 nucleotides long. RefSeq annotates it as predicted gene, 53902. The record is from RefSeq and is a predicted model, not a curated record. NCBI's taxonomy places the organism in Eukaryota, Metazoa, Chordata, Mammalia, Rodentia, Muridae. The transcript is spliced from 2 exons.
AACAUGAACGCUCAUAGCGGUUUUGUUUGUAAUAAGCCCAAAUCUGGAAGCAGCCCAAACAUCCUUCAACAGACAGAUGGAUAAACAAAUUAUGGUCUAUCCAUACAGCAGUUUGCUCUUGCACAAUGAAAAGGAAGAGCUCAGACACACAACAGCAGUGACGGAGCUCAAAAUAAUUACACCGGGCGAAAGAAGCCAUGUGCUCUGCUCCUGGAAAGCAUAUAUUGUGGGUCCUGUGAGAAGAUUCUAAAAGGGCUUGUGGGGGAGCUGAGAACAGUCCCGACCCACCUGCUGUCCACCUGAGGCUCCCUGUGAGGAUCUCUCUCUAGACCAUGGAGCCAAGCCCUCAACUCAGCCUUCUUUACUGCUCCAUCUUUGUGAACCUCAUCACCCAAGAGGAUUGGACCAGAGUUGAGCUACAUAGUGACUUCCAGGUCAGCCUGACUAAUGCAGAUUCUGACUUUAAAAAAAUCAAAACAAGAAGGUGGGCAUGGAAUCACAGUGUUGGGGGAUGGGGGUCAGGAGGAUCAAACAUUCAAGCUCAGCCUGGGCUACAGGAGAACCUGCUGCAAACAAAAACAAAAAUAGCUUUGUAGGUUUUCAGUAGGAAAAAAGAUGUCGAGACAGGGUUUCUUUGCGUAGCCUUUGCUGUCUUGGAACUAGCUCGGUAGACCUGGCUUGCUUCAAACGCAGAGAUCCACCUGCCUUGUCCUCCUGUAUGCUGGGACUAAAGGCGUGCACUACCACUGCCUGGCUUCAAUAGAAAUUUUCAUUAAUUUCUAUUUUUCUAUCUUUGUGUAUUUUAUGUGUACAUAUGUGUUCCUGGGUGGGGCACAGUCAGGGUCAUUAUUUGGUAUCUUUAUCAUCACUCUCACCUUAGACUUUGAGACAGGAUCUCUCAUUGAACCUGAAGCUCACUGGCAGGCCAGCAAGUCCUGGGGAUCCCCCUGCCUCUGCCUCUGAAGCACUGGUAUAAUAGGUGCCUGCUUCUAUGCUCAGUUUUGUAUUGAGUUCAGGGGAUCUAAACUCAUGUAUGUCCUCAUGGUUGUAUGAUAAACACCUUUUUCACAGAACCAUCUCCCCAGCCCCUUCUUUGUGUAUCCAUCCUGUGGCUGACAUUUUUUUUUCUUCCAGUCUCAAAAAAUUUUAUAGCCCAGUAGGAAAUUCACAAGCCCUGGGCUGUGAGGCUCCUGUGUCAAGAAUUAUGAGUAUCAAGAAUUAGAAGAUGCCCAACACAAGCUGGGAGCGGUGGCACACACCUUUAGUCCCAGCACUCAGGAGGCAGAGGCAGGCAGAUCUCUGAGUUCAAUGCCAGCCUGGUCUACAGAGUUCCAGGGCAGUCAGGGCUACACAGAGAAACCCUAUCUCAAAUAAACGAAGAAAAGGAUGCUUAAGACUACUUCUGCCUCUGUGCUACGCUGACCUCUGCUGUGUAGUCUUUAACCAUCCAUCUCUUCCUUGGAUCUGCGUACCUUAGAGCAAAGCAGAGCCAGGCUCUUGGGUCAGUUGAAUUUUAAGUUCAUGAUUUCUCAAGCUACCAAUCUGACUGCAGCCCCUGUGUGUUUCUCAGUCAAGAGGAUAACUAGAGAGCACUUCCUUCUGAGGCUCUCUGAGCAUGGCACGGAGCACAGUGGCCAGAACAUCAUAUGCCCACAAGUCACCCCUUUAGAGCCUUAUAGAUAAAUUCCAUCACCCCUACUUUAUAGAUAAGAAGAAAGAGACUACAGAGUGAAUCUGAAGAUUACAUGGAACUGUGUGAUCCCAGUUUUUCUCAUCUUUCUCCACAACCCUACCCGGGCAUCCUUCGCUCCUUCCCUGUUCUUGGUUCCCACUGAGACCCAGACUUCACUGAUUCUUAGACUCCAUCUUGCCAGCAUCUGGGCUAGCUCAAAAGUGUCAACCAAUCCCAUAUUCUCAAAGUUCCCGUUGGGAAAACAACAUCAGCCAAAGCCAAAAACUUCAGAGCCACUCAAGAGGGAUGGUGGGACCUGGUAGGCCUCCCUUCCAUUGUUCUGUGGCCUGUGUUCCCUGAGGAUCAAACACCCACCACAGCUCCAAGCUGAGCAGGAGGCAUCGAGUAUACACACUCUCCAGCCCUGUACCCUCUGCAUCUCUCGUUAGUGCCUUGCCUCUAUACAGAGUUUGGGAGUGGAGGAGCUUAGAAGAGGCUAGGUCCAUUGCUGACCACCUUUGAGGCUGCCACUGGGAGAUUCCUCUAAAGGCCACUGGGUCAGUUAUUUAACGAAGAACUCCAAAAUGGCCCUUCUAUACUCUUCCAUCUUUGUGAACCACGUCACAGAAUUGGUGAAAAGAAGAUCAAUUUGUCACUGACCAUCUUUGCCAAUCCUCUUCCCACCCUGGCUAGGAAUAAGGAACCACCCAGGUCCAUUCGACUCCUGGCAGCAGCUGGGAGCGUGGCUGCAGGCGUCCAGCCUCCCAGCUCUGGACGGCUGAUAUUUAUCGUCAGGUUGGCAGUAGCUAGAAUUAUGAGGAGAGAAGUCUCUGGGCAUGGCUCUGAGGAGUGAUCUAGAUUAGACCUAGGUGGGAAGACACAGCCCUGAACGUGGGCGGUGCUGUUUCAUGGGCUGGACUGAA